UUCAAGGAAGGCUGCCCUUCCUCUGAGGUGGGGGUGAAGCAGACAGUCAGGAGUUUUCCUUCUGUGUUGAGCAUCAAGAGCUGAAGGUGACAAGAUGUGAUCAUUAUCCCUCUGAAGAGUCCCAUUGGUCCUUUGAACCAGGAGUCCUGCAGAGUGGCCUCAUGGGAUAUCCGCUUGGGGAACACUAUGUGGAUUGUCUCAGCCGGCGCUGCAUCUUGAGGCCAGCAAAGGUGGACACCGUGCCAUGCUGAGGACUGCAGACCAGAUGCAGGAUGUGAUGGAACCAACUCACCCCUGCAAGAGCUACUACCAUGCUAUGUGGACUUUCCAUCUCCAAAACUGUAAGCA
This is a long non-coding RNA of Heterocephalus glaber (naked mole-rat), 348 nucleotides long. NCBI's taxonomy places the organism in Eukaryota, Metazoa, Chordata, Mammalia, Rodentia, Bathyergidae. The record is from Ensembl.